Molecule: long non-coding RNA, 565 nt
Organism: Acipenser ruthenus (sterlet)
Lineage: Eukaryota; Metazoa; Chordata; Actinopteri; Acipenseriformes; Acipenseridae
Exons: 4
Source: RefSeq, a predicted model, not a curated record
UCCAUUAUUAUACACAGGCUGCAUCGUAUGCGAAGAAAGGGCGCGUAUGUACAAGCAAACCCUGCAUUAAUGUUUACACCAGGCUACAGGUUGAGGCUGACAAAGUGAGCUUGACAAGUAUCCAGGUGAAGGCAGGUAAAGGCAAUUUCUCCCGCCUACUGUAUCCCCCGAUGUUUCCCAUUAAACACUGCAGUGGACGACUAUAGGUGGCCCUGCUGGAUGGCCCUUCCAUGGAGGGCCCAGGGCCUUGACCGCCUGCUUCUGUUGCCGCUUCACGACACCCAAGAAGUCUAGGAGUGUUCCGGCUGAGCUCGGUACCCCAUAAUCCGGCCAGCUCAGGUACUGGCAGUGGGUCACCUGUCGCUGCUCACAGGUCUGCAAGGGGAAACCAAACCAAGGAAGCUCUUCACUCACACCACAAUAAGACAGGGGAAACCAACAUCCCUAGCAAAGCUCAGGAGUCUCUCUAGUCUGAGCGCUACUUGCAGUGCUGUGGAAGAGUGUGACUGCGUGCAGCGUGACACUCACAGGGCGCAGUUGAAGGUGCCAGGAGGGGCUUCACGGC